AGCGAACGCUGGCGGCAGGCUUAACACAUGCAAGUCGAGCGGGCGUAGCAAUACGUCAGCGGCAGACGGGUGAGUAACGCGUGGGAACGUACCUUUUGGUUCGGAACGACACAGGGAAACUUGUGCUAAUACCGGAUAAGCCCUUACGGGGAAAGAUUUAUCGCCGAAAGAUCGGCCCGCGUCUGAUUAGCUAGUUGGUGAGGUAACGGCUCACCAAGGCGACGAUCAGUAGCUGGUCUGAGUGGAUGAUCAGCCACAUUGGGACUGAGACACGGCCCAAACUCCUACGGGAGGCAGCAGUGGGGAAUAUUGGACAAUGGGGGCAACCCUGAUCCAGCCAUGCCGCGUGAGUGAUGAAGGCCCUAGGGUUGUAAAGCUCUUUUGUGCGGGAAGAUAAUGACGGUACCGCAAGAAUAAGCCCCGGCUAACUUCGUG
This 435-nucleotide ribosomal RNA is filed under the name uncultured bacterium. RNAcentral's name for it is "partial 16S ribosomal RNA". It matches the Rfam family "Bacterial small subunit ribosomal RNA", at positions 29 to 507 of the family's 1533-position model. The record is from RNAcentral.